AGAUUGAAGCAUCUCUCUGGACUUUGCAGGGAAUUGACAGAUUGAAGGAAGCUUCUACGGCUUUAAAGUUUCAUUCUUGGGCAACCUUCUGCUACCUCAAGGACCCGCAGGUCAGUCUUAAGCUACCUCUCCGGUAGCUGCAACAAUUUGAUCACCUUUGAAGGAACGUUAUAUUCAGGUCUAUUUUGAUCGCUUUUGGCCCCU
RNAcentral lists this unclassified non-coding RNA (204 nucleotides) under Hevea brasiliensis (rubber tree). The record is from RNAcentral. Lineage: Eukaryota; Viridiplantae; Streptophyta; Magnoliopsida; Malpighiales; Euphorbiaceae.